UGAUCCUGGCUCAGAACGUACGCUGGCGGCACGCCUAACACAUGCAAGUCGAACGAAGUAGCAAUACUUAGUGGCAGACGGGUGAGUAACAUGUGGGUAUCUGCCCUUUGGCCUGGAAUAACACGAGGAAACUUGUGCUAAUACCGGAUAAGUCUUUACGGAGAAAGCUUUAUGCACCAUUGGAUGAGCCCGCACUUGAUUAGUUUGUUGGUGGGGUAAUGGCCUACCAAGACUGUGAUCAAUAGCUGAUUUGAGAGGAUGAUCAGCCACAUUGGGACUGAGACACGGCCCAAACUCCUACGGGAGGCAGCAGUGGGGAAUCUUGCACAAUGGAGGAAACUCUGAUGCAGCGAUGCCGCGUGAGUGAAGAAGGCCCUUGGGUUGUAAAGCUCUUUCGUCGGGGAAGAAAAUGACUGUACCCGAAUAAGAAGGUCCGGCUAACUUCGUGCCAGCAGCCGCGGUAAUACGAAGGGACCUAGCGUAGUUCGGAAUUACUGGGCUUAAAGAGUUCGUAGGUGGUUGAAAAAGUUGGUGGUGAAAUCCCAGAGCUUAACUCUGGAACUGCCAUCAAAACUUUUCAGCUAGAGUUUGAUAGAGGAAAGCAGAAUUUCUAGUGUAGAGGUGAAAUUCGUAGAUAUUAGAAAGAAUACCAAUUGCGAAGGCAGCUUUCUGGAUCAUUACUGACACUGAGGAACGAAAGCAUGGGUAGCGAAGAGGAUUAGAUACCCUCGUAGUCCAUGCCGUAAACGAUGUGUGUUAGACGUUGGAAAUUUAUUUUCAGUGUCGCAGCGAAAGCGAUAAACACACCGCCUGGGGAGUACGACCGCAAGGUUAAAACUCAAAUGAAUUGACGGGGACCCGCACAAGUAGCGGAGCAUGUGGUUUAAUUCGAAGAUACGCGCAGAACCUUACCAACACUUGACAUGUUCGUCGCGACUUUAAGAGAUUAAAGUUUUCGGUUCGGCCGGACGAAACACAGGUGCUGCAUGGCUGUCGUCAGCUCGUGUCGUGAGAUGUUGGGUUAAGUCCCGCAACGAGCGCAACCCUCACUUUUAGUUGCCAUCAUUUAGUUGGGCACUCUGAAAGAACUGCCAGUGAUAAGCUGGAGGAAGGUGGGGGUGACGUCAAGUCCUCAUGGCCCUUACGUGUUGGGCUACACACGUGCUACAAUGGUAUCUACAACAGGAAGCAAAACAGCGAUGUUAAGCAAAUCCUUAAAAGAUACCUCAGUUCGGAUUGCACUCUGCAACUCGAGUGCAUGAAGCUGGAAUUACUAGUAAUCGUGGAUCAGCGUGCCACGGUGAAUGCGUUCCCGGGUCUUGUACACACCGCCCGUCACACCAUGGGAGUUGGUUCUACCUUAAGGCAAGGUUUAAUACCCUUGACCACGGUAUAGUCAGCGACUGGGGUGAAGUCGUAACAAGGUAACC
This 1430-nucleotide ribosomal RNA is filed under the name uncultured marine bacterium. RNAcentral's name for it is "bacterial SSU rRNA". It matches the Rfam family "Bacterial small subunit ribosomal RNA". The record is from RNAcentral.